CCAGGAUAAACCAACCGGUUUGCCGGCUAACUGUUGAAGCCUGUGGAGUACCAUAAUGGUGAGAUACAGGUGAAUGCAGGAAUGGCCCUCCUUAGAGGGUUUGGUUGAUUUCUGGAGCCCGUGAAAAGGGAACUGGUAAGGAAACUUCUGACCGUACCGAGAACCGUUUCUGGUGCCCCUCCCUGAAAAGGGGAAGGUGUGUUAGGAGAAAUCCGUCCAGGGAAUUCGGCAAAUUGGCCCCGUAUCUUCGGUAGAAGGGGUGCCUACUGCCCUGACUCAGUCAGGACCAGUAGGUCGCAGUGACAAGGGGGGUCCGACUGUUUAACAAAAACGUAGGGGAGCGCCAAGCAGAAAUGCUUUGUACGCUUCCUGAGGCCUGCCCAGUGCCAGUGUGUUAAACCCGGGUUCAACCGGGUGAAGCCCUGGUAAACGGCGGCGGUAACUCUGACCGUCUUAAGGUAGCGUAAUCCCUUGCCGGUUAAUUGCCGGCCUGCAUCAAUGGCUUAACGAGAUCCCCACUGUCCCGGACGGAUGCCUAGUGAACUCAAUGUCCAGUGCAUAUUCUGGAGUCCUUCAGCGGGACGAGAAGACCCCAUGGAACUUUACUGCAGCCUGGUGUUGUGGUAUGGGGAUGGCUGUAUAGUGUAGGUGGGAGCCUUCGAAGCAGGAUCGUCAGGUCCUGUGGAGGCAGCAAUGUAACACCACCCUGCUCUUCUCAUACUGCUUACCCCUAGGGGAACAGCACCUGGUGGGCAGUUUGACUGGGGCGGUACACCUCUGACAAAAGAUCAGAGGUGCCCAAAGGUCUCCUCAUCCCGGUCAGAAAUCGGGAGUAGAGUGUAAGGACAAAAGGAGGCCUGACAGGAUCCUUGACAACAAGGGAUCCUGACGCGAAAGCGUGGCCUAGCGAUCCCCUAUGCCUCAUUGGUUGGAGGCUAGGUCUGACAGAAAAGUUACCCUGGGGAUAAUGGAGUCGUGGCGGGCGAGAGUCCAUAUCGACCCCGUUCAUUGCUUCUCCGCCGUCGGCUCGGCUCUACCUGGGCGUGCAGCAGCGCCCAAGGGUGGGGGUGUUCACCCAUUAAAGAGUCACGUUAGCUGGGUUAAGAACGGUGCGAGCCAGUUCGGUCUAUAUCUGCUGAAGGUGUCGGUUGCCUGAAGGGAAGGCUCCUUUAGUACGAAAGGAACAAGGAGUCGUGGCCUCUGGUGUAUCGGCUGUUAUAAGCACGCCGAGUAGCUACGCCAUAACGGAUAAGCGCUGAAGGCAUCUAAGCGCGAAACCGACCCUGAAAAUAGGCAACCAUUCCACAAACUGGUACGCAAGUACCGGUGCGUGGAGGAAGGUCCUGUAGACGACAGGUUUGGUGGGACCGGGGUGUAAGUGCCAAGGCGAAAGCCGAGGCAUUCAGCCCGCGGCUAC
RNAcentral lists this ribosomal RNA (1417 nucleotides) under marine sediment metagenome. RNAcentral describes it as "bacterial LSU rRNA". It matches the Rfam family "Archaeal large subunit ribosomal RNA", at positions 1577 to 2964 of the family's 2987-position model. The record is from RNAcentral.